CGCCCGGGAAUUACGAGCCCACGCUUAAAACCCAAAGGACUUGACGGUGUCCCACCCAUCUAGAGGAGCCUGUUCUAUAAUCGAUACCCCCCGCUAUACCUAACCACUUCUAGCUACUCAGCCUGUAUACCUCCGUCGCAAGCCUACCAUGUGAACGUCACACAGUAAGCCCAAAGGGGACCCCCCCCCCGCACGUCAGGUCAAGGUGCAGCCCAUGAAAUGGCAAGCAAUGGGCUACAAUUUCUAAAAUAGGACAGACGAAAGACUGCAUGAAACACAGUCACGAAGGCGGAUUUAGUAGUAAAGAGGGAAUAGAGUGCCCCCUUUAACCCGGCCCUGGGACGUGU
Molecule: ribosomal RNA, 347 nt
Filed under: Conraua alleni (Allen's slippery frog)
Lineage: Eukaryota; Metazoa; Chordata; Amphibia; Anura; Petropedetidae
Description: partial 12S ribosomal RNA
Rfam family: Bacterial small subunit ribosomal RNA
Source: RNAcentral